AUUAAACGCUGGCGGCAUGCCUUACACAUGCAAGUCGAACGGCAGCACGGGGGCAACCCUGGUGGCGAGUGGCGGACGGGUGAGUAAAGCAUCGGAACGUAUCCUGGAGUGGGGGAUAACGUAGCGAAAGUUACGCUAAUACCGCAUAUUCUGUGAGCAGGAAAGCAGGGGAUCGCAAGACCUUGCGCUCUGGGAGCGGCCGAUGUCGGAUUAGCUAGUUGGUGGGGUAAAGGCCUACCAAGGCGACGAUCCGUAGCGGGUCUGAGAGGAUGAUCCGCCACACUGGGACUGAGACACGGCCCAGACUCCUACGGGAGGCAGCAGUGGGGAAUUUUGGACAAUGGGCGGAAGCCUGAUCCAGCCAUGCCGCGUGAGUGAAGAAGGCCUC
RNAcentral lists this ribosomal RNA (388 nucleotides) under uncultured bacterium. RNAcentral's name for it is "bacterial SSU rRNA". It matches the Rfam family "Bacterial small subunit ribosomal RNA", at positions 29 to 418 of the family's 1533-position model. The record is from RNAcentral.